CUGAGCAAAAAGCAAAGAUAUAGCAAAAACCUCCAUCCAGUAGCAACAAUUUUCUUCCCCAACCCAUCAACUGCUUUCUUCUAUUUGAAUCUUCAUCCUCACAAGCAUCAUCUACCGCAAAAUCAUCUGCCGAGUAGCUGCAGCCACCUUUUUGGGGCGUCUUUCAUUAUUCGAAUCCGAGCCGGACUCAUUAGAGUUAACAGCUUUUCCAAGCCUUUGCCUCUUAGGAAACUGGUUCUACUCCCCUAAUAUUUAAAUCUAUAAUUUGAGGUCCAAGAUUAAGAAAAUCAGCAAAGUUAUUGCUGCUAUGAGUAGAAAAUUCAGGACCAACAAGGGGGGCAGUAGGCGGCGGAGGUGCAUAAGUUGGAAUUGGAGGAGAUGGCAGAUUUUGUGGUGGCAUAUUUGUGUAUUGAGGAAUCGGGGAAGUGUUGGGAUCAAGAAAGGUAAAGUAAAGAAAGUGGGAUGGUCCACUAUGCAUUUUCGGAGUAAACCCUUGAUAAGAACAAAACAUAUUCAGCAGAUUGCUAGAUAUGGCUUGCAAAGAAGUAGUAUAAAUUAAUUCUUGCAUAUCUAUAUGUUCUGCUCUAUCAAACCUUUCUUUUUGGCUCUCCCUCAAUUGUCUCACUUCAUUUCUU
RNAcentral lists this long non-coding RNA (635 nucleotides) under Nicotiana benthamiana. RNAcentral describes it as "long non-coding RNA (NBEN_LNC013799)". Lineage: Eukaryota; Viridiplantae; Streptophyta; Magnoliopsida; Solanales; Solanaceae. The record is from RNAcentral.